AAAAAGGGCUUCUGCUGUGCUUUGCACAGGAGGGAUGGUAAUGACUGUUCCUCCUGCGGAAUCGCCAUCAAGAGAUUUCGGAAGCAAAAUUUUUAGAUCCGGGGCUGCUGGUGAUCUACUGUCCUGGCGCCCCA
RNAcentral lists this small nuclear RNA (134 nucleotides) under Mola mola (ocean sunfish). Its description in RNAcentral is "U11 spliceosomal RNA (ENSMMOG00000014359.1)". It matches the Rfam family "U11 spliceosomal RNA". Lineage: Eukaryota; Metazoa; Chordata; Actinopteri; Tetraodontiformes; Molidae. The record is from Rfam by way of RNAcentral.